RNAcentral lists this ribosomal RNA (385 nucleotides) under Azotobacter sp. enrichment culture clone NAMFC7. RNAcentral describes it as "partial 16S ribosomal RNA". It matches the Rfam family "Bacterial small subunit ribosomal RNA", at positions 469 to 854 of the family's 1533-position model. The record is from RNAcentral. Lineage: Bacteria; Pseudomonadati; Pseudomonadota; Gammaproteobacteria; Pseudomonadales; Pseudomonadaceae.
UUGACGUUACNAACAGAAGAAGCACCGGCUAAUUUCGUCCCAGCAGCCGCGGUAAUACGAAGGGUGCAAGCGUUAUUCGGAAUUAUUGGGNGUAAAGCGCGGGCAGGUGGUUUNUUAANUCGGAUGUGAAAUCCCCGGGCUCAACCUGGGAACUGCAUCCAUAACUGCCNGGCUAGAGUAUGGUAGAGGGGGGUGGAAUUUCAGGUGUAGCGGUGAAAUGCGUAGAUAUAGGAAGGAACACCAGUGGCGAAGGCGNCCCCCUGGACAAAUACUGACACUGAGGUGCGAAAGCGUGGGGAGCAAACAGGAUUAGNUACCCUGGUAGUCCACCCCGUAAACGAUGUCGANAGNCGUUGGUGCCCUUGAGCNGUCAGUUUCGCAGCUA